UGUAAUGUAGUUUAUUAAAAAUUUUCGUUUUACACACGGAAGAACUCUGUCUGAGCUUUACUA
This 63-nucleotide transfer RNA is filed under the name Echinococcus oligarthrus. RNAcentral describes it as "tRNA-Val". The record is from RNAcentral. Lineage: Eukaryota; Metazoa; Platyhelminthes; Cestoda; Cyclophyllidea; Taeniidae.